GGCCAGACUCCUACGGGAGGCAGCAGUGGGGAAUAUUGCACAAUGGGGGAAACCCUGAUGCAGCGACGCCGCGUGAGUGAAGAAGUAUUUCGGUAUGUAAAGCUCUAUCAGCAGGGAAGAAAAUGACGGUACCUGACUAAGAAGCCCCGGCUAACUACGUGCCAGCAGCCGCGGUAAUACGUAGGGGGCAAGCGUUAUCCGGAUUUACUGGGUGUAAAGGGAGCGUAGACGGCAUGGCAAGUCAGAUGUGAAAGCCCGGGGCUCAACCCCGGGACUGCAUUUGAAACUGUCAGGCUGGAGUGCAGGAGAGGUAAGUGGAAUUCCUAGUGUAGCGGUGAAAUGCGUAGAUAUUAGGAGGAACACCAGUGGCGAAGGCGGCUUACUGGACUGUAACUGACGUUGAGGCUCGAAAGCGUGGGGAGCAAACAGGAUUAGAUACCCUUGUACUC
This 449-nucleotide ribosomal RNA is filed under the name uncultured bacterium. RNAcentral's name for it is "bacterial SSU rRNA". It matches the Rfam family "Bacterial small subunit ribosomal RNA", at positions 329 to 795 of the family's 1533-position model. The record is from RNAcentral.